GGGUGGGCUUUGAAACCCUCCUCCUCGAUACAUGGGAUCCAGUCUGCUCCUUGAUUCCUUUGGAUGAAGGAGUUGCCUUGGUCAUGGUGUCUGUUCACAGCAGUGGAAACCCUAAUUCAGACAGUAACCUAGCAGCCUCCCCUGACAUUGAACAAUGUGAUGGGCUGACAGAUAAUGUCUUUCUUGCUGGAGGUCUUGGGGACCUCCAAACCCAGCUGAAUAGGGAGACAGACACUUGGUUUGGAGCAAAGCCUGUGAGCCAAAGGUGUGUGUCGUGGUCCGAGGGUGGAGCCUUCUGACCCAAGUGAAGUCUAUUGUCCUUCCACAUCUGCAGCUUCCUGCAAGAAGCCACUACCUGCUGAGCAGCUGAGCUUGUUUUCCUGCUGAGAUGCUGACAAAGCUAGGAGAUCCUGGCAAAGAGGGGGAUGGGUUCCCCCCUUUAAAAAUUCAGACUAAAGUUGAACCUUAAUCGGA
This 474-nucleotide long non-coding RNA is filed under the name Mus pahari (shrew mouse). RNAcentral describes it as "lncRNA (MGP_PahariEiJ_G0005988.1)". Lineage: Eukaryota; Metazoa; Chordata; Mammalia; Rodentia; Muridae. The record is from RNAcentral.